UGCUAGGUCUCUUCCGUUUGGUAGGAGACCAUAUCAUUCAAAUGAGCCAAAAGAGUGCCUAUAUUGGCAUGGAAUUUGCCAUCCCCCUCAUAGGCUGCUAUUCAAUGCUCUCAUGGCCUUCUGAGUGGAUUGAAGAAUCAUACGCCGAAGAGAUUAGAGCGUUAGGCGCAUGAUGGGAGACGAGCAUAUCUUUGCUCAUGUCCCUAUCAUCAAUCCAGUCGUUUUGAUGCUCAUUUGUGAAGGCUUGAAUAUUCAUGCCAUUUGCUGCUCUAACACUGGGGAUGUGCUUCUCAAUUUAUAAUUUUUUGCUCGAGAGAGAAAAGAAAGAUGGCGAAGGAGUUGAGGAAGACCUCUUCAAACAACAAUAGUUAUGGAAGAGGGUUCUUCCAAAAGAUGGCAAUGUUGAAGCCGUGUAGCUGAUGGCAGCGACACUCUAUGUAUGUGGCAGAUCGAGAGCUUAAUUCUGCAGAAUAACCAACUGAUGGCUUUAGGGAGGUUUCAAGUAACACAUUGCUACAGGGAAGCAAACUUUUAUUUGAUUCCUUGCUAAUGUAGACGUAGUUGAAAGACAUGAGAUAUUCUUUACAUUGAUCUACGCUUA
Non-coding RNA from Nicotiana tabacum (common tobacco), 601 nucleotides. The record is from RefSeq and is a predicted model, not a curated record. NCBI's taxonomy places the organism in Eukaryota, Viridiplantae, Streptophyta, Magnoliopsida, Solanales, Solanaceae.